AACGUAGGGGGCCAGCGUUGCUCGGAAUUACUGGGCGUAAAGGGUCCGUAGGCGGUGUGGCAAGUCGGAAGUGAAAUCUCUGGACUUAACCCAGAGGCUGCUCCCGAAACUGCUAUGCUAGAGUGCGAGAGAGGCGAGUGGAAUUGCGGGUGUAGCGGUGAAAUGCGUAGAUAUCCGCAGGAACAUCCGAGGCGAAAGCGGCUCGCUGGAUCGCAACUGACGCUGAGGGACGAAAGCUAGGGGAGCAAACAGG
RNAcentral lists this ribosomal RNA (253 nucleotides) under uncultured bacterium. RNAcentral describes it as "partial 16S ribosomal RNA". It matches the Rfam family "Bacterial small subunit ribosomal RNA", at positions 524 to 776 of the family's 1533-position model. The record is from RNAcentral.